RNAcentral lists this ribosomal RNA (433 nucleotides) under uncultured bacterium. Its description in RNAcentral is "partial 16S ribosomal RNA". It matches the Rfam family "Bacterial small subunit ribosomal RNA", at positions 29 to 507 of the family's 1533-position model. The record is from RNAcentral.
AACGAACGCUGGCGGCAUGCCUAACACAUGCAAGUCGAACGAGACCUUCGGGUCUAGUGGCGCACGGGUGCGUAACGCGUGGGAACCUGCCCUUAGGUUCGGAAUAACUCCCCGAAAGGGGUACUAAUACCGGAUAAUGUCUUCGGACCAAAGAUUUAUCGCCUUUGGAUGGGCCCGCGUUGGAUUAGCUGGUUGGUAGGGUAAAAGCUUACCAAGGCGACGAUCCAUAGCUGGUUUGAGAGGAUGAUCAGCCACACUGGGACUGAGACACGGCCCAGACUCGUACGGGAGGCAGCAGUGGGGGAUAUUGGACAAUGGGCGAAAGCCUGAUCCAGCAAUGCCGCGUGAGUGAUGAAGGGCUUAGGGUUGUAAAGCACUUUUACCCGGGAUGAUAAUGACGGUACCGGGAGAAGAAGCACCGGCUAACUCCGUG